This 670-nucleotide long non-coding RNA is filed under the name Sinocyclocheilus grahami. RNAcentral describes it as "lncRNA (ENSSGRG00000030962.1)". Lineage: Eukaryota; Metazoa; Chordata; Actinopteri; Cypriniformes; Cyprinidae. The record is from RNAcentral.
AGGAAACAGCUGCCAGUUACACAAAAUCCAUAAAGAAAGGUAAUCUGAGCUCCAGAGAUGAAUUCACAGAAGCAUUUCCUCGUCCUGCUCCGCCGGUGAUGCAGAUCAGAACAACACAGGUCUGAAACAAACAAACAAACAUAUCCGUUGUUUUAUAUUACUGAGCGCUCCUCUCCUAACAUCCUGCUGUGUGUGUGUUCUUACAGCGGCAGAUUUCAACACCAGGCGGAGCUCAGAUCACCAUGUCCAACGUCUGUGGAGUUCAGAUCGGCAACAACAACAGCAUGAAUAUAGUUCAGAAACCGCGGCAGAGGCACCGGACGGCUCCUUCCAGCGUCGGCAGGUCACAGAACUCGGAGAACUCACAGAAAAAACCUCAGUGACAUCUUCACACAGGAAUCAGCUCUCGUUCAGCUCUCAGGAGUUGAGAGUGUUUUAGUGGCUAGACUAUAACUGAGUCAAAGGGAAAUAGAAUUUCAAUGCGGCUGAAAAAUAUUCAGGCCUAAAUGUAGGAUUCAUGUAUUUGAACCGCAUAUAAAAUAUCCAUGCAUUUGGAUUACACAGUAUAACAUUAACUAACCAAUAAAUGUAAUGAGAUGCAUAUUUGUUAGUCGUGCAUAAAGUCAGAUUAAUAAUAAACCACGCAAUGUUUUUGUUACUUGAAAUAAAC